UCGAGGAUCUUCGGCAAUGGGCGCAAGCCUGACCGAGCGACGCCGCGUGUGCGAUGAAGGCCUUCGGGUUGUAAAGCACUGUCGGAGGGAAGAAAAGCCGCAAGGCGUGAUCGACCCUCGGAGGAAGCACGGGCUAAGUUCGUGCCAGCAGCCGCGGUAAGACGAACCGUGCAAACGUUGUUCGGAAUCACUGGGCUUAAAGGGCGCGUAGGCGGGCAGGCAAGUCGGAGGUGAAAGCCCACGGCUCAACCGUGGAAGUGCCCCCGAUACUGCUUGUCUGGAGGGAGGUAGGGGCGUGCGGAACUUCCGGUGGAGCGGUGAAAUGCGUAGAUAUCGGAAGGAACACCGGUGGCGAAAGCGGCGCGCUGGACCUUUACUGACGCUGAGGCGCGAAAGCCAGGGGAGCAAACGGGAUUAGAUACCCGCGUAGUCC
This 433-nucleotide ribosomal RNA is filed under the name uncultured bacterium. RNAcentral describes it as "bacterial SSU rRNA". It matches the Rfam family "Bacterial small subunit ribosomal RNA", at positions 355 to 796 of the family's 1533-position model. The record is from RNAcentral.